UACGUAGGGUGCAAGCGUUGUCCGGAAUUACUGGGCGUAAAGAGUUCGUAGGCGGUUUGUCACGUCGCUUGUGAAAACUCACAGCUCAACUGUGAGCCUGUAGGCGAUACGGGCAGACUUGAGUACUGCAGGGGAGACUGGAAUUCCUGGUGUAGCGGUGAAAUGCGCAGAUAUCAGGAGGAACACCGGUGGCGAAGGCGGGUCUCUGGGCAGUAACUGACGCUGAGGAACGAAAGCGUGGGUAGCGAACAGG
Molecule: ribosomal RNA, 253 nt
Filed under: uncultured bacterium
Lineage: Bacteria
Description: partial 16S ribosomal RNA
Rfam family: Bacterial small subunit ribosomal RNA
Source: RNAcentral